AUACUUACCUGGCGUAGGGGUUUACAAUGAUCAGGAAGGUUGUUCCCCCAGUCUGAGGACUGCCCAUUGCACUUCGGGUGGUUUGACGGCUGCGAUUAUUCAGCAUAUGAAUAACUCGUUCGCGCAAUUUUUGGUAGCAGGGGCUUGCGUUCGCGCUUGCCCCUA
Molecule: small nuclear RNA, 165 nt
Organism: Clunio marinus
Lineage: Eukaryota; Metazoa; Arthropoda; Insecta; Diptera; Chironomidae
Rfam family: U1 spliceosomal RNA
About the family: U1 is a small nuclear RNA (snRNA) component of the spliceosome (involved in pre-mRNA splicing). Its 5' end forms complementary base pairs with the 5' splice junction, thus defining the 5' donor site of an intron.
Source: Rfam